GAUGAACGCUGGCGGCGUGCCUAAUACAUGCAAGUCGAGCGAACAGACGAGGAGCUUGCUCCUCUGACGUUAGCGGCGGACGGGUGAGUAACACGUGGAUAACCUACCUAUAAGACUGGGAUAACUUCGGGAAACCGGAGCUAAUACCGGAUAAUAUAUUGAACCGCAUGGUUCAAUAGUGAAAGACGGUUUUGCUGUCACUUAUAGAUGGAUCCGCGCCGCAUUAGCUAGUUGGUAAGGUAACGGCUUACCAAGGCGACGAUGCGUAGCCGACCUGAGAGGGUGAUCGGCCACACUGGAACUGAGACACGGUCCAGACUCCUACGGGAGGCAGCAGUAGGGAAUCUUCCGCAAUGGGCGAAAGCCUGACGGAGCAACGCCGCGUGAGUGAUGAAGGUCUUCGGAUCGUAAAACGCUGUUAUUAGGGAAGAACAAAUGUGUAAGUAACUAUGCACGUCUUGACGGUACCUACUCAGAAAGCCACGGCUAACUACGU
This 496-nucleotide ribosomal RNA is filed under the name uncultured bacterium. Its description in RNAcentral is "partial 16S ribosomal RNA". It matches the Rfam family "Bacterial small subunit ribosomal RNA", at positions 28 to 506 of the family's 1533-position model. The record is from RNAcentral.